RNAcentral lists this long non-coding RNA (70 nucleotides) under Gorilla gorilla gorilla (western lowland gorilla). RNAcentral's name for it is "Ghrelin opposite strand RNA conserved region (ENSGGOG00000037668.1)". It matches the Rfam family "Ghrelin opposite strand RNA conserved region". The record is from RNAcentral. Lineage: Eukaryota; Metazoa; Chordata; Mammalia; Primates; Hominidae.
GGGAGAGUGCCUCAUCUCUUCCAUUUUCCAGGUAUUCCCGAGAUGAUUUAUCGGAGCUCAAAGCUUUGGG